This 253-nucleotide ribosomal RNA is filed under the name uncultured bacterium. RNAcentral describes it as "partial 16S ribosomal RNA". It matches the Rfam family "Bacterial small subunit ribosomal RNA", at positions 524 to 776 of the family's 1533-position model. The record is from RNAcentral.
UACGGGGGGGGCAAGCGUUGUUCGGAAUUACUGGGCGUAAAGGGCUCGUAGGCGGCCAACUAAGUCGGACGUGAAAUCCCUCGGCUUAACCGGGGAACGGCGUCCGAUACUGGAUGGCUUGAGUUUGGGAGAGGGAUGCGGAAUUCCAGGUGUAGCGGUGAAAUGCGUAGAUAUCAGGAAGAACACCCGUGGCUAAGGCGGUUCUCUAGUACGGUACUGACGCUGAGACGCGAAAGCGUGGGGAGCGAACAGG